GACGAACGCUGGCGGCGUGCCUAAUACAUGCAAGUAGAACGCUGAAGGAGGAGCUUGCUUCUCUGGAUGAGUUGCGAACGGGUGAGUAACGCGUAGGUAACCUGCCUGGUAGCGGGGGAUAACUAUUGGAAACGAUAGCUAAUACCGCAUAAGAGUAGAUGUUGCAUGACAUUUGCUUAAAAGGUGCAAUUGCAUCACUACCAGAUGGACCUGCGUUGUAUUAGCUAGUUGGUGGGGUAACGGCUCACCAAGGCGACGAUACAUAGCCGACCUGAGAGGGUGAUCGGCCACACUGGGACUGAGACACGGCCCAGACUCCUACGGGAGGCAGCAGUAGGGAAUCUUCGGCAAUGGACGGAAGUCUGACCGAGCAACGCCGCGUGAGUGAAGAAGGUUUUCGGAACGUAAAGCUCUGUUGUAAGAGAAGAACGAGUGUGAGAGUGGAAAGUUCACACUGUGACGGUAUCUUACCAGAAAGGGACGGCUAACUACGUG
RNAcentral lists this ribosomal RNA (495 nucleotides) under uncultured bacterium. RNAcentral's name for it is "partial 16S ribosomal RNA". It matches the Rfam family "Bacterial small subunit ribosomal RNA", at positions 28 to 507 of the family's 1533-position model. The record is from RNAcentral.